Molecule: ribosomal RNA, 1490 nt
Filed under: uncultured bacterium
Lineage: Bacteria
Description: 16S ribosomal RNA
Rfam family: Bacterial small subunit ribosomal RNA
Source: RNAcentral
AGAGUUUGAUCCUGGCUCAGGAUGAACGCUAGCUACAGGCUUAACACAUGCAAGUCGAGGGGCAGCAUGGUCUUAGCUUGCUAAGGCCGAUGGCGACCGGCGCACGGGUGAGUAACACGUAUCCAACCUGCCGUCUACUCUUGGACAGCCUUCUGAAAGGAAGAUUAAUACAAGAUGGCAUCAUGAGUCCGCAUGUUCACAUGAUUAAAGGUAUUCCGGUAGACGAUGGGGAUGCGUUCCAUUAGAUAGUAGGCGGGGUAACGGCCCACCUAGUCUUCGAUGGAUAGGGGUUCUGAGAGGAAGGUCCCCCACAUUGGAACUGAGACACGGUCCAAACUCCUACGGGAGGCAGCAGUGAGGAAUAUUGGUCAAUGGGCGAGAGCCUGAACCAGCCAAGUAGCGUGAAGGAUGACUGCCCUAUGGGUUGUAAACUUCUUUUAUAAAGGAAUAAAGUCGGGUAUGGAUACCCGUUUGCAUGUACUUUAUGAAUAAGGAUCGGCUAACUCCGUGCCAGCAGCCGCGGUAAUACGGAGGAUCCGAGCGUUAUCCGGAUUUAUUGGGUUUAAAGGGAGCGUAGAUGGAUGUUUAAGUCAGUUGUGAAAGUUUGCGGCUCAACCGUAAAAUUGCAGUUGAUACUGGAUAUCUUGAGUGCAGUUGAGGCAGGCGGAAUUCGUGGUGUAGCGGUGAAAUGCUUAGAUAUCACGAAGAACUCCGAUUGCGAAGGCAGCCUGCUAAGCUGCAACUGACAUUGAGGCUCGAAAGUGUGGGUAUCAAACAGGAUUAGAUACCCUGGUAGUCCACACGGUAAACGAUGAAUACUCGCUGUUUGCGAUAUACUGCAAGCGGCCAAGCGAAAGCGUUAAGUAUUCCACCUGGGGAGUACGCCGGCAACGGUGAAACUCAAAGGAAUUGACGGGGGCCCGCACAGGCGGAGGAACAUGUGGUUUAAUUCGAUGAUACGCGAGGAACCUUACCCGGGCUUAAAUUGCAGAUGAAUUACGGUGAAAGCCGUAAGCCGCAAGGCAUCUGUGAAGGUGCUGCAUGGUUGUCGUCAGCUCGUGCCGUGAGGUGUCGGCUUAAGUGCCAUAACGAGCGCAACCCUUGUUGUCAGUUACUAACAGGUUCUGCUGAGGACUCUGACAAGACUGCCAUCGUAAGAUGUGAGGAAGGUGGGGAUGACGUCAAAUCAGCACGGCCCUUACGUCCGGGGCUACACACGUGUUACAAUGGGGGGUACAGAGGGCCGCUACCACGCGAGUGGAUGCCAAUCCCAAAAACCUCUCUCAGUUCGGACUGGAGUCUGCAACCCGACUCCACGAAGCUGGAUUCGCUAGUAAUCGCGCAUCAGCCACGGCGCGGUGAAUACGUUCCCGGGCCUUGUACACACCGCCCGUCAAGCCAUGGGAGCCGGGGGUACCUGAAGUGCGUAACCGCGAGGAGCGCCCUAGGGUAAAACUGGUGACUGGGGCUAAGUCGUAACAAGGUAGCCG